CUGGCCAGCAAUUACUUGGGAGUUAAGGAUCAUAAACUCUUCGAAGAGAUCGAGGAGUUAAUUCGGACCAUAGAGGUGACUCCAGCUGAAGUAGCUGAACAGCUGCUAAAGAGCGAUGAACCUGAUGUCUCACUUGCUGGCCUGAUCAGUUUUCUUCAUGCAAAGAGAAAGGAAAAUGAAGAGGCCAAGGCCAAGAAAGAAACAGAGGUGGCUGCAUCAGUUGCAGAGGCAGAGGCAGUGGGAGAUGGUGAAAAGAGCGAUCAGAGUCAAGAAUCUGACAAAAAUCAGAAAUAACAAGCUGUUUUCUAAUUGUUCAUUGAGUAUUAUAUUACCCGACACUUUAUUUUGAUUCGAAUAUCUGUGUCGGACAAAAUUUAGAAUAAAAACAUGUAAUUCUCAAAAUCUGUGUAAUUUAAAUUGAGCCACAGUUGUUCAAAUAUGUAACCAAACCAAAAAAUAUAACCGGAUCAACAUACAUGAUUCUUGAUCUGUAUCUUUAAGCUUUUUACCAUAUUCAAAACUCAGCACUUAACCAAGGAACAUAAAAACCCUGAUGAAAGACUUGAGAACAAAUCAAAUAUUCUCAUAUAAUUUCGAGCAAUGCUAAAAUCCAACUUUUUCUUGAAUAUGUGCAUAAAAUAUUGACACGCAUGGGAAAUGGUCAGAAUUCCAUUUCCGUUUCACAUCUCUUUCAUUUUGCCUUUUGUGUUUUUUAAAGCUAAAACGUCGCUAUAAUUCAGUUUUGUGCUACUAAUGCAAACACUGGGGAAUAACUUUUGCUCCAUCACGACAAUGCAGAAACCUUUCGUAUUAGCUAGGCAAUCGAAACUUUUUAAACGUGUGGCACCAGAUGUUGGAUUUUCUCAAAAUAUUUAAUUCUUUUAAAUAUGAAUUAGCACCUAAAAUGGAAUGAGUAACCAAUAAAACAGACCUUACAAGAAAUAUUCCUUAAACAUAAAUACGUCUUAGACACAUAGACUUGAAGUUUGAUGUGAUUUUUGUACGAAUCUAAAACCGACAAUAAUAGAGACUUAGGAAGUUAGUUUGGUUUAACCUAAAGAAGAUGUUUAUUAUUUACAAGUGAAAAGUUAUUUAUAAAUUUAAAAUAAUUUUUAAUCUAUGUGUUUGAAAUAUUUUUUGAUAUUUACAACUUUUUGUAUAUAAAAUUAAUUAAUAUAAUAAUAAAUUUUAAUAAAUUAUAUUUUAAAAUAGUUCUUUACAUGUUCGUGAAAUCAAAAUUUUAUAAAUAAAAUUAAGUUGCUAAAAAAAAUAGAAUUUUCAAUUUAUAAAAUUCUUACAUAUAAGUUAGAAAUUGACUUAUAAAUUAUUAUAUGAAUAUCACGAAUAAACUAGAAAUAAGUUUAACAUCUAAAAUUUAUUUUAAUAAAAUUAGAAAUAAAUUAAAAAUAAGUUGUUUCAACUCACCAGCCAGAAACUGGGUUUAAAACGCUACCUAAGUUAGAUGCGGUUUCUAUACAAAUCACGAAACCAAAUUUGAUACAGGGAUGGAAGAUACAAAUGUUCUGGUAAAGAUGAACCAAAUGAACCAGAUCUGAAUGAAUCGUAUACGCAGAUCCCCAGAAUAGAAACAAAUUCAACCAGUAUCAAAACCGAUCCGUAUAUUUCAAGAAGCUGGAGAUUUGAGCGUCAAAAGCUUGUACCAAAAGUCUUGCAAUGAGAUCCUAAAGGAUAACCUGGCAUAUUCAGCUUUAACAGAUCAGAGACAAACAAGGAAACUCUUGAUUCCUGCUAAACAGUCACAUGGUAAAUUUCUAUAACAUGCAUGCAUAGUGAAACCCAAUAUUCCUACCUACUAUUAUUAUUUGCUAAUCCAUCACUUGAUUGGUGUGGACUAACCAUACACAUGGGGACAACAUGUCCGUCUCUAUAAUGUAUCUUUUCAUACCAGUUGUAUUUUUUGAUAGAAACAAGCAGCAAAAGCAUGCUUGGACACUUCUUUCAGGUGGCAGUGGAAAGUCCAGUCAUAAGUCAUGUCCUCGCGUGAAAAUAAUAUACCAAUGCUUGCCUCUUUGGCAUUGUUCCAUCACUUCCGGUCAUUUUCUUUGGGUUUUUCGUUACUGGAUUGAUGCAUCAGUAAGGUUUAUCCUCUGUGGAUUUCCGAUUCGAAAUUCAUAAAUUUUGAUAUUCCAUCUGUCCCAUUCAUUUUUAUACAGUUUUGAAGAUACCAGUAAGUUUUAUUUUAUGUCCGUUCAAAGAUUUUAAUAUGGCUUAUCCUAUAAUAUUCUGUCAAUUCGCGAUUAGGAGAUUUUGAUAAGACUACCUACUAAGAGAUUCGAAAAUUUUCAUACAUUUUAAAAUUCGAAGAUUUAAUAAAAUUUAUCCCCUUUUGAUUUGAAAUUCGUAGAUUUCUUUAAUGAAAUCAAGAUUCCGGACAGCCGGUGAGCCGGACACUAUGCAAUCUAUACUAUAAUAUAAUAAGCCAACAUAGGUUUAAUUUGUAGUCGUACAAAAUUUUGGUUUGGUCAUCUCCUUUAUAACUCAUGGAGACUUCUUUUACUCUUACAAUAUUAAAGAGUUUUAUACCAUUCAAAUUACAAACACAUGUGAUGUAAUACAAGGUAAAAAAACUCCACCAUUAUUCUUUUAGAUAUAAUUUAUAUAUUAUUUAUAUACUAUAUUAUAUAUACCGAUAUUGGUAUAAUUCGUAGUCGUCCAAAAAAUGUAAUCAGUUGGUAAUUAUAAUAUGGUUAAAAUCUAAUUUAUUAAUAAUAAAAUGAUAUUAAAAUUUAAAUUAUAAUUAAUAAAUUACGAAUUCUAUACCCGUCUGUGCUUCGCACGGGUUAAAGGCUAGUAUAUGUAAGAAGUAACAUUUCAUUUCGCACAAGGCCACAACCCCACCGAGUCACUAAACUUCUCUUUUAACUUUAUGCACUUUAACUAAGCAACUCCUCUUGUCAGUAUUUAACGGUGCUGGCUAGUUUAAAAUCUGGCUCCUGACCCACCAACUGAUAUGGAGUUCACUAAAACCUAAAAAGUCGCCAGUACUCACAAAUAGUCCUACAAGAAAUUUCCACACACUUUCCAUGCGAGACUUUGGGUCCGUCUGCUGUGUUAAAUAGAAGGGCUUAAUGUUUAUUUUUAAAUGAAAAUAAUUUAUUUCUAAAAUUAUUAAUAUAAUAAUAAAGUAUUUAAAUUAUUUUUUAACAUUGUCUGUUAUUUUUUAAAAUCAGAAUUUAAAAUUAAUUUAAAAAAAAUGAUUUCAACUUCUUAGAUCCUGAAUUAUAAAUCAAAAAAUAAUUUAUAAAAUUUUUACACAAAAAAUACGAAUGAAAUGCUUGAGACCAAAUUAAGGGUCGUUUGGGUGAGUUUAAAAUAAGUGCUUCUUGCUUAAAAUAAAAAAGUGGAGCAAAAGUUAGAAGCAAGUUAAGAUUUACAAGUGACUAAAGUGUUUGGAAAAGAAGUAAAAGCCCUAAAACAAAAGUUAGCAUUCCUGACUUUUUAUAAACGUUUCUUAUUUUUUACACAAACGGCACGAAUAAGUGCUUUAAACACAGAAGUCGGGCUUCUAAGUCAUAAACAAACACCCUCUAAGUGGGUGUUUGUGUGGGACUUUUAAGUCCGGCUUCUGAAGUUAUAUAUUACAAGCAUUUAUUUGUACAGUUCGUAUAAAAAGUCGAGCAAUACCCGUAAAAAGUUAAAAAUCCUAACUUUUAUUCAUAAUUUUUUACUUUUUUCCCCAAACACUUUAAUUAUUAUACGUCUUACCUAACUUCUAACUUAUUCUUCACCCUUUUUAUUUUAAAUAAUAAACAUUUAUUUUAAACUCACUCAAACUGCCCUAAGUUCAAAGGUAACCUUACUAGUUACACAGGAAAGCCUCUCUCAAAUAAAGCUCACACCAAGUCACUCAUAAGUUAUUACACAACUCAAGAGUUCAAUUCUGAAACUAAACAUGGUGAGUCUCACCGACUUGCCUUCCCCAUCAACAGCUUACGCUGCAUACGCUUCGAUCUCAGCUUCUUUCAUGCUCCUGCAGACCACUUUUCACCAAAUAGUCCCUCGCCCUGUGCAAGAUUUUCUCCUCUCGGCCUUCUUCCGAAUCUUCAAGCGCACCAACACCUCUCUACUCAACCUGGUGAUCGAUCAGUUCGAUGGCAUGUCACGAAACGACCUCUUCGAUUCCUUCGAACUCUACAUGUCUACCAAAACCAAUCCCAAGACUCACCGUCUCAAGCUAACCAAGAGCUCCAAAGAGAAACACAUUAACAUCAAACUAGCCCAGUCUGAAAAAAUCAUGGAUGUUUUCCAAGACAUUGAGAUAAAAUGGCUAUUUAUCUGCGAAGAAUCAGAUAAUUCCGCGAGGAAUAGCAGUGGCAGACCCAGCUCCAAAAUUCCGGACGAUUUUGGAAAUCGUCCGUGGCAGUUCAAGACUAAGCAGUGGUUCGAGCUUAGUUUCGAGAAGGUUCACAAGGAUGUUGUGAUCAAUUCUUACAUACCUUACGUCCUGGAAGAAUCGAAGGCUAUUAGGAAUGCGAAGAAAGUUGUGAAGCUGCACACGCUGGCUAACAACGCGUAUUUUGCGGAAACGCCUGCCUGGGAUUCGAUCAAUUUGGAGCAUCCUUCCACGUUUGAAAAAUUGGCGAUGGAGCCGAGCGAGAAAAAAGCGCUGAGAGACGAUCUGGAUUUGUUUGUGCAGAGGAAAGAGUAUUACAAGAGUGUGGGAAGGGCUUGGAAAAGAGGGUACUUGUUGUACGGGCCUCCGGGGACAGGGAAAUCGAGUUUGAUUGCUGCCAUUGCUAAUUAUCUAAAAUUUGAUAUCUAUGAUUUGCAGCUUAUGAAUGUGAAGCACGAUUCGGGGCUCAGGAAAUUGUUGUUGGCGACGGCAAAUAGAUCGAUUCUUGUGAUUGAAGAUAUUGAUUGUAGUGUGGAGUUACCGGAUAGAAAUGCUAAACCAGUUCCAUCUGAUCGCCAUCCUCGCGAUGUGCAGGUAAAGUUCAGCCACCGCUCUGUAAUUUACUCCAUUCUAAAAAUUUGUGUUAGUUUUUUUUUAACUUAAUUUGAUAGUAACUAUAUCUGAAUUAGUACACAAUGCUCUUGUUUCGGGUAAUUAAGUGUUUGUUUUGUAAUUUGAGUAGUGAUUAUUAUAACCCAACUGGGACAAUUGAUGAUUGUGGUUGUUGCAGUUUACAUUAUCAGGACUAUUGAACUUUAUUGAUGGGCUAUGGUCAAGCUGUGGAGACGAAAGAAUCAUAAUCUUCACGACGAACAACAAGGAGAAGCUGGAUCCUGCAUUACUGCGUCCUGGACGGAUGGACAAGCACAUUCACAUGUCUUAUCUGUCAUUUAACGGAUUCAAAACAUUAGCUUCUAAUUAUCUGGACCUAAGAGAUCAGCAUUGGCGAUACGGGGAGAUAGAAGAGCUAAUUGGGAGUACUGAAGUCACCCCUGCUGAAGUUGCUGAAGAACUUAUGAAGACCAGUGAUGCCGAUGCUUGUCUUGGAGGACUUGUUAGUUUCCUCAGAGGAAAGAAGAGAGAAAGGAGCGUUGACGACAAGGAUGAUGAAGAAUGUGCUGAUGGGAUUCAACCCAUCCCGGAAGCCAAAAGAAUAAAAGCUAAUGGCUGGCAGUGAUCUAGCUUGUUAAGUUUUUUUAUUUAGAGCUUGAUUAGCCUAGUGUUAUCUUUGGCCUUACUGAUGUUCGAUUCUCGCUCACCUCAGAUUCAUCGACAAAACAGAAAAGAUGUCUGAUUACUGUAUGACUUACGGUAAUUGUUAAUUAAUAGUCCCAAGAUUAAGGUUUUUUCCUGCAUGCUACGUUUCUAUGCAGGGGUGAAGUCCCUAAUGGAAACAAAUGCCUUUGAUCAAUUCUCUCUUUAAAUCACAAUGCACGUAUGUACCUAAACCGCCAGUUAAUUAUAAACUUGUAGAUUAAUCAAAACUGUAGAUCACUUGAACAAAAAUGACUGCAAUGACGAGUUUGAAUGCUCUGCCUUCAGCCAGAAGUGUUUAUGCUGCAUACGCUUCCAUUUCAUCAUCAGUCAUGCUUCUUAGGAGCACUUGCCACCAAAUAGUCCUCGUAAAGUUCAAGAAUAUUUUCUCUCUACGGUCUCUGGCUUCAUCCACCGGAUUGCUCACUCUGAUUGUCGAGAAGUUUGAUCAAUCUUCAUAACAGAACUAUCUGUUUAGAUCCUUUGAAAUUUACAUGUCCACCAAAGCUACUGCAACAACCAAUCAUCUCAAAAUUACAAAGCUGAGCCAGAAAAGCAACCAGCUCGCUACCAGAUUAACCCAAGCCGAAACGACUACUGACUUCUAUAAAGGUGUUAAGAUUGUUAUACAAUCUGUGCAAAAAGAAACAGUGUUUGUGUGUGCAAAACAGGAUCAACAUGCAUGUUCUUGAUCUGUAUCUUUAAGCUUUUUAUUAUAUUCAAAACACAGAACUUAAGCAAGGAACAUAAAAACAUUGAUGAAAGACUUGAGAACAAAUCAAAUAUCCCCAUGUAAUUUGGAGCAACGCUAAAAUCUAACUUUUUCUUGAAUAUGUGCAUAAAAAAUUGACACACAUGGGAAAUGGUCAGAAUUCCAUUUCAGUUUCACAUCUCUUUCUUUUUGCCUUUUGUGCUUUUUAAAGCUAAAACGUCGCUAUAAUUCAGUUUUGUGCUACUAAUGCAAACACUGGGGAAUAACUUUUGCUCCAUCACGACAAUGCAGAAACCUUUCUUAUUAGCUAGGCAAUCAAAACUUUUUAAAUGUGUGGCACCAGAUGUUAGAUUUUCUCAAAAUAUUUAAUUCUUUUAAAUAUGAAUUAGCACCUAAAAUGGAAUGAGUAACCAAUAAAACAGACUUUACAAGAAAUAUUCCUUAAGCACAAAUAGGUCUUAGACACAUAGACUUGAAGUUUGAUGUGAUUUUUGUACAAAUCUAAAACCGACAAUAAUUGAGACUUUAGGAAGUUGUUUGGUUUAACCUAAAGAAGAUGUUUAUUAUUUUUAAGUGAAAAGUUAUUUAUAAAAUAAAAAUAUUUUUCAAUCUAGGCGUUUGAAAUAUUUUUUGAUAUUUAUAACUUUUCAAAUAUUAAAUUUAUUAAUAUAAUAAUAAAUUAAAUUUUAAAGUGGUUCUUUACAUGUUUGUGAAAUCAAAAUUUUAUAAAUAAAAUUAAGUUGCUAAAAAAAUAGAAUUUUCAAUUUAUUAAAUCCUUACAUAUAAGUUAGAAAUUGACUUAUAAAUUAUUAUAUGAAUACCACGUAUAAACUAGAAAUAAGUUUAACAUCUAAAAUUUAUUUUAAUAUAAUUAGAAAUAAAUUAAAAAUAAGUUGUUUUCAACUCACCAGCAGUGUUGUAAAAAGCGGGGAUCGGACUUAAUAGGUGAAGUCACGAAAGAAGGAUUAAUCGGGGAUUAAUUGAAUUGAUCGGAAAUUAAUCGGAUUGAUCGGUGAUUAAUCGGAGAUUUAAUCAGUUUGGCAAGCUACGGAACAGAAAUUAAUCGGUGAUUAAUCAUGAUUAAUCGGCGACUUUUUAAACAGAGCUCAUCAGCCAGAAACUGGGUUUAAAAUAAGUUGUAUAGAUGCGGUUUCUAUACAAAUCACGAAACCAAAUUUGAUACAGGGAUGGAAGAUACAAAUGUUCUGGUAAAGAUGAACCAAAUGAACCAGAUCUGAAUGAAUCGUAUACGCAGAUCCCCAGAAUAGAAACAAAUUCAACCAGUAUCAAAACCGAUCCGUAUAUUUCAAGAAGCUGGAGAUUUGAGCGUCAAAAGCUUGUACCAAAAGUCUUGCAAUGAGAUCCUAAAGGAUAACCUGGCAUAUUCAGCUUUAACAGAUCAGAGACAAACAAGGAAACUCUUGAUUCCUGCUAAACAGUCACAUGGUAAAUUUCUAUAACAUGCAUGCAUAGUGAAACCCAAUAUUCCUACCUACUAUUAUUAUUUGCUAAUCCAUCACUUGAUUGGUGUGGACUAACCAUACACAUGGGGACAACAUGUCCGUCUCUAUAAUGUAUCUUUUCAUACCAGUUGUAUUUUUUGAUAGAAACAAGCAGCAAAAGCAUGCUUGGACACUUCUUUCAGGUGGCAGUGGAAAGUCCAGUCAUAAGUCAUGUCCUCGCGUGAAAAUAAUAUACCAAUGCUUGCCUCUUUGGCAUUGUUCCAUCAAUUCCGGUCAUUUUCUUUGGGUUUUUUGUUACUGGAUUGAUGAUGCAUCAGUAAGGUUUAUCCUCUGUGGAUUUCCGAUUCGAAAUUCAAAAAUUUUGAUACUUCCUCCGUCUCAUUCAUUUUUAUACAGUUUUGAAGAUAUCAAUGAGUUUUAUUUUUGUCCGUUCGAAGAUUUUAGUAUGGUUUAUCCUAUACCAAUUCUGUCAAUUCACGAUUUGAAGAUUUUGAUAAGAUUACCUAUUAACAAUUUGAGAUUCGAAAAUUUUCAUACUGUUUAAAAUUCGAAGAUUUUGAUAAAAUUUAUCCCCUUUUGAUUUGAAAUUCGUAGAUUUCUUUAAUGAAAUCAAGAUUCCGGACAGCCGGUGAGCCGGGACACUAUGCAGUAUAUGUAAGAAGUAACCUAACAUUUCAUUUCCCACAAGGCCACAACUAGGGCUGUUAACGAAACGAAUUUUCUGUCAAAAAAAAAAAAACGAAAUGAAUUCGAAACGAAUAUCUUAAUUUUCAUAUUUGUAUUCAGUUUAGAUCCAUAUAUUCGGAUUUGUAUUCGUUUAUUAUCCGAAUAAUUAUUUGUUUUCGUAUUCGGAUUCGGUUAGAUUCACGAAUUAUUCGUAUUCGUUUAAGGUACUCAUUUAAAACAAAAUGGAACUAAAUAACUGACGUGCUAGCCGAUGACAAAAGUUAUAAACUCUCAUACUUCACCGAUUCAAGCAAACUAUAAGCAAACUAUAAGGUACUAUGGUUUGGACUAACCAUAGUACCAUACACAUGGGGACAACAUGUCCGUCUAGUUUCUAUGUGGGACUCUAUGUGGGACUCUAGUUUCUUUUCCAAUUUUUCCACUACUAAAGAAGCAACUUUGGAUCAUCACAAUUCAUCCAUUCCUUAGUCAUUUUGAGUGAAUAAACAUGCAUUGGAAAGCUCUCUCGGAGGAGAACAUAAUACAAGCAUAACCCGCCACGAACACGUAGCCGAGCCUCACUCAAAUUUGUGCUCAAAAUGACAAACUUCCAAGAAAGAUUACAUGGCAAUUCUCUAGCAAAAAUUCUUCACCAAAUAAAUAUUUUAUUUCGUUUUUAUAAAGGCCUGGUCCCUGACUAACCAUAUCCAAUUCAAGGACUCCUAGGGAGAGUGUGGCAACAAACUUCAUUUGCUUAUGGUUAUACUGAGCUCCUUGCCUCCUUGUGUAUUGAAAAUGUUCUGUUCACCUCACUGUUCAUGUGUUAAGACUAAUAUGGGAGAAUUGGUCACUUAACAUGAUAUCAUAAGAGCUCAGACCUGCUGGACACUCGAGUUCAAAAUGUCAAGAUGAUCCGAAAGGUUGAAAGAAAAUGUUAAGAUGAUGUAAACAUGAUAAGGUCAGCAGUCUCAUGUCACUGUCUUGAAUCUACUUUUUCAUACUUGGGGGCUAAGUAUCACUUUCUAUAAAUUACAGUCUCCUCAUUUUUCAAUAUACAGCUACAUUUUAUAUUCUACCUCCUUUUCUCUAAUCUUAUAUACACCAAUCAUGAGUUUAAUUCCUCUGCCUUCUGCGGGAAGUGUUUAUGCUGCAUACGCGUCGAUUUCAUCAGCAGUGAUGCUUCUGAGGACUACUUACUACCAAAUAGUCCCUCGUCAAUUUCACGAUUAUGUUCUCUCUGCCGUCUCUCGCUACUUCCACCGCACUGUCCUUGAAGAAAACUCCUCAUUCACUCUGAUUGUCGAGAAUUCUGAUGGACCUCCUUGUCAUAACUAUCUGUUUAGUUCAUUUGAAGUUUACAUGUCCACCAAAGCUUCUCCGACGACUAAUUGUCUCAAGAUCGCUAAGCUGAGCCAGAAAAGCAACGAGCUCACUACCAAAUUAGCCCGAGCUGAAACCAUGACUGACAUUCAUAAAGGUGUUGAGAUUGAGUGGAAAUUCAAUAGCAGCGAUUCACAGGAUAAAACUGAUCGUAGGAAGAAUCAUUAUUGGUUUGAGCUUCGUUUUGAAAAAGUACAUAGGGAAUUCGUUGUGAAUUCGUACAUACCAUUUGUCAUGAACGAAGCAACAGACAUGCAAAAUGCAAGGAAGGGUCUGAAGUUGUACACUUAUUCACACGACGUGUGGUCUCCGAUUAAUUUAGAGCAUUCAUCCACAUUUGAGACACUGGCGAUGGAGCCGGGUGAGAAGAAAGCUUUAAUGGAUGAUUUGGAUUUGUUUGUGAAGAGGAGAGAUUUUUUUAAGAGAGUAUGAAGGGCUUGGAAGAGAGGCUACUUGUUAUACGGGCCUCCAGGGACAGGCAAAUCGAGUUUGGUUGCAGCCAUAGCUAAUUAUCUCAAAUUUGAUAUAUAUGAUCUGCAGCUCUCGAAUGUGAACAAUGACUGGCAGUUCAGGAGAUUGUUGCUGGGAACUGCAAACAGAUCCAUUCUUGUGAUUGAAGAUAUUGAUUGUAGUGCCAGCUUGCCUAACAGGAAGACUCAAACUCAAGCAAAGAAUGGGAAAUCCAAAUCUCCCAAGGUAUUAUUACCCAAUUGCAAAUUUGGGCUUCUAACUUGAUAAAAUAGUUUUCUAAUUUAUUUGCAGUAGUUAAUAUGUGGUGGAUUCAGUUUUCACUCUCAGGACUACUGAAUUUCAUAGACGGGCUAUGGUCGAGCUGUGGAGACGAGAGGAUUAUAAUCUUCACAACCAAUCACAAGGAUAGACUUGAUCCAGCAUUGUUGCGUCCAGGACGGAUGGACAUGCACAUUCACAUGUCUUAUCUUACGAUGAAUGGUUUCAAAACAUUAGCCUCCACCUAUCUGGAAAUCAAUCACCAGCACUGGCGUUUCAGGGAGAUAGAACAGCUAUUAGGCAGCGUUGAAGCAACGCCUGCUGAAGUUGCUGAGGAACUAAUGAGGACAUGUGAUGCUGAUGCUUGUCUUGGAGGACUUGUCAAUUUCCUCAAGGAUAAGAAGAGGAAAAGGACUAUUGUUGAAUCCGGGGAGGAUGCGAAUCCUGGAGCUGAAACCACGGAUGGGGAUGACACUACUCCUGGAGUUGAACUCAUCCCAAAAGCCAAGAAAAUUAAAACUAAUGGCUUGCAGGAUGUUUUUUGUCACAAGUGAGGGGCUAUAAUGGUCGCAGAUAUUAAAUCUUCUGAUUUUGUUAUUCGCGUAAGUUCUAUUUAAUGUUUUGAAUAAUUUUAUUAAAUCUCAGACUAUUUUCUCACAGUCUUCUUCAACAUUGUACUUAAAAAGUAAGCAACUAGACAAUGUUGAAUUGAUCGAUGUAUAAUAAUUCAAAACGUCAACUUUAAAUUCGAUCUUUCUGAUCUCGGCUAUACAAUUCUUGAAAAUAGUGAACUCUGUAUCGAUGGUUUCCUUGUGUAUUGAAAAUGUUCUGUUCACUUCCACCCUUUAUGUUUCAAGGCUAAUCUGGAUGUUAGUAGAAAGUGAUGAUCUAUGAGGAGUUAAUCAGGACUACAGAGGUGACUCCAGCUGAAGUGGCUGAACAGCUGCUAAAGAGCGAUGAACCUGAUGUAUCACUUACUGGAUUAAUCAGUUUUCUUCAUACAAAGAGAAAGGAAAACGAAGAGGCCAAGGCCAAGAAAGAAGCAGAGGAGGUGGC
RNAcentral lists this long non-coding RNA (11674 nucleotides) under Daucus carota (carrot). RNAcentral describes it as "long non-coding RNA (DCAR_LNC005267)". The record is from RNAcentral. Lineage: Eukaryota; Viridiplantae; Streptophyta; Magnoliopsida; Apiales; Apiaceae.